UACGUAGGGGGCUAGCGUUGUCCGGAAUCAUUGGGCGUAAAGCGCGUGUAGGCGGUCCGGUAAGUCCGCUGUGAAAGUCGGGGGCUCAACCCUCGGAUGCCGGUGGAUACUGUCGGGCUUGAGUACGGAAGAGGCGAGUGGAAUUCCUGGUGUAGCGGUGAAAUGCGCAGAGAUCGGUAGGAACACCAAUGGCGAAGGCAGCUUGCUGGCAUAUUUCUGACGCUAAGGCACGAAAGCGUGGGGAGCGAACAGG
RNAcentral lists this ribosomal RNA (253 nucleotides) under uncultured bacterium. RNAcentral's name for it is "partial 16S ribosomal RNA". It matches the Rfam family "Bacterial small subunit ribosomal RNA", at positions 524 to 776 of the family's 1533-position model. The record is from RNAcentral.